RNAcentral lists this transfer RNA (87 nucleotides) under Escherichia coli. RNAcentral's name for it is "tRNA-Leu". It matches the Rfam family "tRNA". From Rfam's summary of the family: Transfer RNA (tRNA) molecules are approximately 80 nucleotides in length. The record is from RNAcentral. RNAcentral also lists the same sequence under 2 other names. Lineage: Bacteria; Pseudomonadati; Pseudomonadota; Gammaproteobacteria; Enterobacterales; Enterobacteriaceae.
GCGAAGGCGGCGGAAUUGGUAGACGCGCUAGCUUCAGGUGUUAGUGUCCUUACGGACGUGGGGGUUCAAGUCCCCCCCCUCGCACCA